CCUACGGGUGGCAGCAGUGAGGAAUAUUGGUCAAUGGGCGCGAGCCUGAACCAGCCAAGUCGCGUGAAGGAUGACUGCCCUACGGGUUGUAAACUUCUUUUGUAAAGGGAUAAAGUGAGGCACGUGUGCCUUUUUGUAUGUACUUUAUGAAUAAGGAUCGGCUAACUCCGUGCCAGCAGCCGCGGUAAUACGGAGGAUCCGAGCGUUAUCCGGAUUUAUUGGGUUUAAAGGGAGCGUAGAUGGGGUGUUAAGUCAGGUGUGAAAGUAUGCGGCUCAACCGUAACAGUGCAAGUGAUACUGGCAGUCGUGAGUACAGGUGAGGUAGGCGGAAUGCGUGGUGUAGCGGUGAAAUGCUUAGAUAUCACGAAGAACUCCGAUUGCGAAGGCAGCUUACUAAACUGCCACUGACAUUGAGGCUCGAAAGUGUGGGUAUCAAACAGGAUUAGAUACCCCGGUAGUC
This 460-nucleotide ribosomal RNA is filed under the name uncultured bacterium. Its description in RNAcentral is "partial 16S ribosomal RNA". It matches the Rfam family "Bacterial small subunit ribosomal RNA", at positions 338 to 795 of the family's 1533-position model. The record is from RNAcentral.